UACGUAGGGUCCGAGCGUUGUCCGGAAUUAUUGGGCGUAAAGAGCUCGUAGGCGGUCUGUCGCGUCGGCUGUGAAAACACGGGGCUCAACUCCGUGCCUGCAGUCGAUACGGGCAGACUAGAGUUCGGUAGGGGAGACUGGAAUUCCUGGUGUAGCGGUGAAAUGCGCAGAUAUCAGGAAGAACACCCGUGGCGAAGGCGGUUCUCUGGGACGGUACUGACGCUGAGACGCGAAAGCGUGGGGAGCGAACAGG
RNAcentral lists this ribosomal RNA (253 nucleotides) under uncultured bacterium. RNAcentral's name for it is "partial 16S ribosomal RNA". It matches the Rfam family "Bacterial small subunit ribosomal RNA", at positions 524 to 776 of the family's 1533-position model. The record is from RNAcentral.